UACGUAGGUGGCAAGCGUUGUUCGGAAUUAUUGGGCGUAAAGGGCGCGUAGGCGGUUUGCUAAGUCAGUUGUGAAAGCCCGGGGCUCAACCCCGGAGGGUCGGCUGAUACUGGUGGACUAGAGUACGGAAGAGGUAGCUGGAAUUCCCGGUGUAGCGGUGAAAUGCGUAGAUAUCGUGAGGAACACCAGAGGCGAAGGCGGCUACCUGGACAAUUGCUGACGCUCAGGCACGAAAGCGUGGGGAGCAAAAGGG
This 253-nucleotide ribosomal RNA is filed under the name uncultured bacterium. Its description in RNAcentral is "partial 16S ribosomal RNA". It matches the Rfam family "Bacterial small subunit ribosomal RNA", at positions 524 to 776 of the family's 1533-position model. The record is from RNAcentral.